RNAcentral lists this ribosomal RNA (496 nucleotides) under Streptococcus constellatus. Its description in RNAcentral is "bacterial SSU rRNA". It matches the Rfam family "Bacterial small subunit ribosomal RNA", at positions 28 to 500 of the family's 1533-position model. Lineage: Bacteria; Bacillati; Bacillota; Bacilli; Lactobacillales; Streptococcaceae. The record is from RNAcentral.
GACGAACGCUGCGGCGUGCCUAAUACAUGCAAGUAGAACGCACAGGAUGCACCGUAGUUUACUACACCGUAUUCUGUGAGUUGCGAACGGGUGAGUAACGCGUAGGUAACCUGCCUGGUAGCGGGGGAUAACUAUUGGAAACGAUAGCUAAUACCGCAUAAGAACAUUUACUGCAUGGUAGAUGUUUAAAAGGUGCAAAAGCAUCACUACCAGAUGGACCUGCGUUGUAUUAGCUAGUUGGUGAGGUAACGGCUCACCAAGGCAACGAUACAUAGCCGACCUGAGAGGGUGAUCGGCCACACUGGGACUGAGACACGGCCCAGACUCCUACGGGAGGCAGCAGUAGGGAAUCUUCGGCAAUGGGGGGAACCCUGACCGAGCAACGCCGCGUGAGUGAAGAAGGUUUUCGGAUCGUAAAGCUCUGUUGUUAAGGAAGAACGUGUGUGAGAGUGGAAAGUUCACACAGUGACGGUACUUAACCAGAAAGGACGGCUAA